UGUGUUUGUGUGCGUGAAUUUGUGAAUGUGUGUGCAUACAUGUGUACGUUUGUGGGAGUGACUGUGGAUGUGAACGUGUGUGUAUGUGUGUGAGUGCAUGAGUAUGUGUGUGCCCGGAUUGUGUGUGUGUAUGGGUAAGAGAAAGUGUGUGUGCGUGCGUUUGUGUGAAUGUGUGUGUGACUGUGUAUUUGAGUGUGUGUGCAUGCAAGAGAAUGAGUGUAUGUAUGUGUAUGUGUGUGUGUGUGUGUGUGUGCGUGAGAGUGCCUUUGUGAAUGUGUGUGUGUUUAUACGUGUGUGUGUGUAUGUAUGGGUGUCAGAAUGUUUGUGUAUACAUGUGUAUAUGGUGUGUGCACGCAUGUAUGUGUAUGCAUGUGUGUGCAUGUGUGAGUGCAUGAGUGUGUGUGUGUGCGUAUGGGUAAGAGAAUGUGUGUGUUUAUACAUGUGUGUGCGUGCGUGCGUAUGGGAAUGAGAAUGUGUGUGUGUUGACACGUUUGUGUUUGUGCGUGAUUGCAUAAAUGUGUGUGUGUGUGUGUGCGUUUGCGAAUGUGUGUGUCUGUAUACUGUAUGUGAGUGUGUGAGUGAGAGAAAAAGUGUGUGUGUAUGAGCGCGUGUAUGUGUGCAUGCGCGUGUGCGUGAGAUUGUGUGUGUCCGUGUGUAGGUGUGUGUGAGUGACUGGGUGUGAGAGAGUAUGUGUGCGUAGGUGUGUGAGUGCGUGUGCAUGAGUAAACAUGAGUGUGUGUAUUUGUGAGUGCGUGUACAUGACUGAGAGAGAAAGGGUGUGUGUGAGAGUAUGUGUGUGUGUGUGUGAUGGAGUGUAUGUGAGAGAGAGACGGUGUGUGUGUGUGUAACUGGGUGUGCGAGAGUGUGUGUAGGUGUGUGAGUGCGUGUGUGUGUGGGCCUAGGUGCAUAUGAGUGUGUGUAUAUAUAUGUGUGACUGUGUGAUUGAGUGUGUGUGUAUGUGUAUAUGAGUGUGUAUGUAUAUAAGUGUGUGUGUGCACAUAUGUGUAUGUGUGUGUGUGUGUGUGUGUAGGUGUGGG
Molecule: long non-coding RNA, 1037 nt
Organism: Anguilla rostrata (American eel)
Lineage: Eukaryota; Metazoa; Chordata; Actinopteri; Anguilliformes; Anguillidae
Exons: 3
Source: RefSeq, a predicted model, not a curated record